UCGAGAAUCGUCCACAAUGCUCGAAAGAGUGAUGGCGCGACGUCGCGUGGUGGAUGAAGCGCUUCGGCGUGUAAACACCUUUUCUGCGUGAGGAAGUUUAUUGACGUUAGCGCAGGUAAUAAGGGGCUCCCAAAUUCGUGCCAGCAGGAGCGGUAACACGAAUGCCCCAAGCGUUAUCCGGAAUCACUGGGCGUACAGGGUCCGCAGGCGGCCGUAUUAGUCCCGCGUUAAAUCGCAAUGCUCAACAUUGUGGCUGCGCUGGAAACGGUACGGCUUGAGGAUGUGAGGGGUGUGCGGAACCGACGGUGUAGGGGUGAAAUCCGUUGAUAUCGUCGGGAACACCGAAAGCGAAAGCAGCACACUGGCGCAUUCCUGACGCUCAUGGACUAAAGCCAGGGUAGCGAACC
Molecule: ribosomal RNA, 407 nt
Filed under: uncultured bacterium
Lineage: Bacteria
Description: bacterial SSU rRNA
Rfam family: Bacterial small subunit ribosomal RNA
Source: RNAcentral